GCCGGGUGUGGUGUCGAACACCUGUACUCCCAGCUACUCUGGAGGCUGAGGCAGGAGAAUCAAUUGAACCCAGGAGGUGGAGGUUGUGGUGAGCCGAGAUCAUGACAUUACACUCCAGCCUGGGUGACAGAGUGAGACUCUGCCUCAU
This is an unclassified non-coding RNA of Callithrix jacchus (white-tufted-ear marmoset), 148 nucleotides long. It matches the Rfam family "Metazoan signal recognition particle RNA". From Rfam's summary of the family: The signal recognition particle (SRP) is a universally conserved ribonucleoprotein. It is involved in the co-translational targeting of proteins to membranes. NCBI's taxonomy places the organism in Eukaryota, Metazoa, Chordata, Mammalia, Primates, Cebidae. The record is from Ensembl.